RNAcentral lists this ribosomal RNA (253 nucleotides) under uncultured bacterium. Its description in RNAcentral is "partial 16S ribosomal RNA". It matches the Rfam family "Bacterial small subunit ribosomal RNA", at positions 524 to 776 of the family's 1533-position model. The record is from RNAcentral.
UACGUAGGGGGCAAGCGUUGUCCGGAAUCAUUGGGCGUAAAGAGCGUGUAGGCGGCUCGGUAAGUCCGCUGUGAAAGUCCAGGGCUCAACCCUGGAAUGCCGGUGGAAACUGUCGGGCUCGAGUCCGGAAGAGGAGUGUGGAAUUCCUGGUGUAGCGGUGAAAUGCGCAGAUAUCAGGAGGAACACCAAUGGCGAAGGCAGCACUCUGGGACGUGACUGACGCUGAGACGCGAAAGCGUGGGGAGCAAACAGG